UACGGAGGGGGCUAGCGUUGUUCGGAAUUACUGGGCGUAAAGCGCACGUAGGCGGCUUUGUAAGUUAGAGGUGAAAGCCCAGGGCUCAACCCUGGAAUUGCCUUUAAGACUGCAUCGCUUGAACAUCGGAGAGGUAAGUGGAAUUCCGAGUGUAGAGGUGAAAUUCGUAGAUAUUGGGAAGAACACCGGUGGCGAAGGCGGCGAGCUGGUCCAUUACUGACGCUGAGGCGCGACAGCGUGGGGAGCAAACAGG
Molecule: ribosomal RNA, 253 nt
Filed under: uncultured bacterium
Lineage: Bacteria
Description: partial 16S ribosomal RNA
Rfam family: Bacterial small subunit ribosomal RNA
Source: RNAcentral